GACGAACGCUGGCGGCGUGCUUAACACAUGCAAGUCGAACGGAAAGGCCUCUUUCGGGGGGUACUCGAGUGGCGAACGGGUGAGUAACACGUGAGUAACCUGCCCUUGACUUUGGGAUAACUUCAGGAGACUGGGGCUAAUACCGGAUAGGAGCUCCUGCUGCGUGGUGGGGGUUGGAAAGUUUCGGCGGGUGGGGAUGGACUCGCGGCUUAUCAGCUUGUUGGUGGGGUAGUGGCUUACCAAGGGUUUGACGGGUAGCCGGCCUGAGAGGGUGACCGGCCAAAAUGGGAAUGGGAUACGGCCCAGACUCCUACGGGGGGCAGCAGUGGGGAAUAUUGCAAAAAGGGUGGAAGCCUGAUGCAGCAACGCCGUGUGCGGGAUGACGGCCUUCGGGUUGUAAACCGCUUUCGCUCAUGACGAAGCUUUGUGUGACGGUAGUGGGUAAAGAAGCACCGGCUAACUACGUG
Molecule: ribosomal RNA, 467 nt
Filed under: uncultured bacterium
Lineage: Bacteria
Description: partial 16S ribosomal RNA
Rfam family: Bacterial small subunit ribosomal RNA
Source: RNAcentral